This 668-nucleotide ribosomal RNA is filed under the name Swertia tenuis. RNAcentral's name for it is "eukaryotic LSU rRNA". The stretch from base 279 to 434 matches the Rfam family "5.8S ribosomal RNA". The record is from RNAcentral. Lineage: Eukaryota; Viridiplantae; Streptophyta; Magnoliopsida; Gentianales; Gentianaceae.
AGUCGUAACAAGGUUUCCGUAGGUGAACCUGCGGAAGGAUCAUUGUCGAAUCCUGCGAAGCAGACGACCCGAGAACAUGUUUAACGCACGGGUGUCCGGGACGAGGGAAACCACAUACCGGCGCCCCAAGCGCGGCGUCGAUCAUAGGUCGCUCGUCGUGCACACAAACAACCCCGGGCGCAUAAAAGCGCCAAGGAAAACAAGCAAGGUAUGUCUGCCCCUCAAUGCUCCGUUCGCGGAGUGCAUGUGAGGGAAACAGGCACCUAGAGAAAAUAAACGACUCUCGGCAACGGAUAUCUCGGCUCUCGCAUCGAUGAAGAACGUAGCGAACUGCGAUACUUGGUGUGAAUUGCAGAAUCCCGUGAACCAUCGAGUCUUUGAACGCAAGUUGCGCCCGAAGCCAUUAGGCCGAGGGCACGUCUGCCUGGGCGUCACGCAUCGCGUCGCCCCCCGACCAAGUGUGUUAACUCAUACGUGUGAUGCGAGGGGGCGGAAACUGGCUUCCUGUGCUUGACCGCGGCUGGCCUAAAUAUGAGUCCCUUGCGAUGGACGCGACGACAAGUGGUGGUUGAUAGUAUCAACUAAGGCGCUGUCGCCCGACGCCCGUCGAAUGAGGAGAUUCCUUGACCCUGAUGCACGCGUCAAUACGCUGCUACGACCGCGACCCC